AAAUAAUCACAACCAAGUCUGAUCAAUUUAUCCCUCUCCAGGCCUAUAAUAUGUCCUCCACGCUUUGUAUACUAGUCAUACUGCUAUCACUUUCACUACUCUUGCCUCCAUCUUCAACCACAAGCACUCCAGUAAUUGUUAUGGAGAAAUAUAGAAAUCUUGGCCAAGUAAAACCGCCUCCAUGUCCUGCAUAUUAUCCUUCUUGUCAUGCACCAAGCGGUAGUGGUCCUCCUCAUAAUCCACCCAGGGGAAAGUACUGUCCUCAUCCAUCACACUGUUACUAGGAAGAAAGAAAGCAUUACCAGGACAACCCAAUUUAAUGGCUAUCAGAUAUGAUGACUUGUUAAUUUCUAUUGUAAUGUUUUUUAUUUACAAUCCUGCUUAAAUUUAAUGUUACAUAUAUUGUAAUGUUUACUUCUGAGCUCUAAAGCUUCCAACCUUAAUAUUUAUAUAUAUGCCAGUACACUUCAUAUAAA
Molecule: long non-coding RNA, 476 nt
Organism: Gossypium raimondii (Peruvian cotton)
Lineage: Eukaryota; Viridiplantae; Streptophyta; Magnoliopsida; Malvales; Malvaceae
Exons: 2
Source: RefSeq, a predicted model, not a curated record